UUAACCCAGACUAGGAAGAGAAUCCAAAAUGAAAGCAUUAAUUGUGAUACUUUCCAUUCUCCUUGCUUCCACUCUCUUCAUCCCCACUUCCGCCAUCGCUCGACGGCUCUUGGAACAUAAUAUACCGCCGAUUCAAGGCCGUACUCUUGUCUAUCCCCGGAAUUACCCCCCAUUCUCCAGCUAUUCCAACAAUCCGUACGGGUAUUACAACAACCCGUAUGGGAAUUACAACAACCCGUAUGGGAAUUCUUUGCCCUUUAGCCAAACUGUAUAGGUAUAUAGAUGGGGAAAUUCUGAAGAUCUCCCAAGUGUCAUUUGUAUUUUCAUAACUAGUUUGUUUACCAGAUGGAGUGUGGUACCUAAUAAGACAAAAGGUCCUUUAAGAUAACCUUUUAAUU
This is a long non-coding RNA of Hibiscus syriacus, 398 nucleotides long. RefSeq lists it as uncharacterized. The record is from RefSeq and is a predicted model, not a curated record. NCBI's taxonomy places the organism in Eukaryota, Viridiplantae, Streptophyta, Magnoliopsida, Malvales, Malvaceae. The transcript has 2 exons.